This 181-nucleotide non-coding RNA is filed under the name Clostridium acidisoli DSM 12555. RNAcentral's name for it is "6S / SsrS RNA". It matches the Rfam family "6S / SsrS RNA". From Rfam's summary of the family: E. coli 6S RNA was the first non coding RNA to be sequenced, but its function was unknown until recently. The record is from Rfam by way of RNAcentral. Lineage: Bacteria; Bacillati; Bacillota; Clostridia; Eubacteriales; Clostridiaceae.
CCAAUCCUGAGGUGUUCGUAAGGCUUAUAUGUUCAACCGACAUAUAAAUUUAGGGAUUUUCAAUAACAAUUAUAGAUGUCAAGCUUCCAACUUAGGCGAAGUAGGCAGAAGGAAUUUGAGAGAAACCCACCUGCUAAGAUGCGGGUGUGACUUUUAAGUACAGCGGCACAAUGGGAAUAAU